UUGGAUGGGUUAGGCUGGACUUGGAUCAUCAUGUCUACCGCUAAUUCCACUUCCAUCGUUCCUACGGACAAUCCUGCUCUUUCUGGAACUCUCCUUACUUAUAACUCUGUCGUUUUGUCUUCAUUUGUAUUGUUUGUAAUCUCGGCUGUAGUUUGGGUCAUACUUAGUUUCCUGCAAAAGAGGACCAAGAAGUUUCUGGGUUGCUGUGGAGGGCGGCCAGGAAUUGUUUUGUGAGUCAGGAAUAAUGAUAUUCAUCAG
Long non-coding RNA from Amphimedon queenslandica, 258 nucleotides. RefSeq lists it as uncharacterized. The record is from RefSeq and is a predicted model, not a curated record. The transcript is spliced from 3 exons. NCBI's taxonomy places the organism in Eukaryota, Metazoa, Porifera, Demospongiae, Haplosclerida, Niphatidae.